AGGACGAACGCUGGCGGCGUGCUUAACACAUGCAAGUCGAGCGGAAAGGCCCUUCGGGGUACUCGAGCGGCGAACGGGUGAGUAACACGUGAGCAACCUGCCCUGGACUUUGGGAUAACCCUCGGAAACGGGGGCUAAUACCGAAUAUUACUUCUGGUCGCAUGACUGGUGGUGGAAAGUUUUUCGGUCUGGGAUGGGCUCGCGGACUAUCAGCUUGUUGGUGGGGUGAUGGCCUACCAAGGCGACGACGGUUA
This 254-nucleotide ribosomal RNA is filed under the name uncultured bacterium. Its description in RNAcentral is "partial small subunit ribosomal RNA". It matches the Rfam family "Bacterial small subunit ribosomal RNA", at positions 26 to 285 of the family's 1533-position model. The record is from RNAcentral.